CUCAAGCGUCUUGCGCAAGCUGUGCCGCACUGCGACAAGCCCGGCAGGCGGUUAAGGGAACGCGGUGAGACACCGCGGCUGUGCCCGCAACUGUAGGCGGCGAGACGGACGAUCACUCCGGGGCUUCGGCUUCGGCGUCACUGGGCAACCGGGAAGGCGCGAUCCUCCGUUUUUGACCCGCAAGCCAGGAAACCUGGCCGCCGACGUCGCUCGUC
Regulatory RNA element from Brevundimonas sp. Root1423, 215 nucleotides. The record is from Rfam. NCBI's taxonomy places the organism in Bacteria, Pseudomonadati, Pseudomonadota, Alphaproteobacteria, Caulobacterales, Caulobacteraceae.